This 786-nucleotide long non-coding RNA is filed under the name Capra hircus (goat). RNAcentral's name for it is "lncRNA (ENSCHIG00000000569.1)". Lineage: Eukaryota; Metazoa; Chordata; Mammalia; Artiodactyla; Bovidae. The record is from RNAcentral.
CUUGGAUUUACUUGGAUUUUAAGUUCAUACCAACUGUCUUAUAGAAUCUUCUGCUUCCUAGGACUGCCUAAUUUUUCCUUAAUGAUUAGGUUCAGGUAAAACAUUUGGGGCCAGAGCGUGGUACCAAUGAUGGGCGACCUUAUUUUGUUACGCCAGAAAGUAAGUUUUUAGAAAUAAAGUGAACGAGCCACACAGUGAAUGGAUCUAUAUUUUCGAAUCGCCCCAUGUGCAAUGAAAACGCAGUGUGUUUUUUCAUAACAGUCUUAGCAUCAGCUCUUGUGAUUUUUAAAAUUCCACUGUAAACAACAAGCCUUCUGCACUCCUGUGAAGGGGACGUUAAACAAGCCUGUGAACUAAUGCUAGGUACCUUUUGCAGAAUCUGGAACUUCUCCUAUCAAGACCAAAACCAAACCAGAUGAAACAGCACCUUGCGAAAACAGGAAAACCCACCCUUCACAAGCUUGACAGAAUACCACUUCCAAGUUACAGAACUUUCAAAUAGUUCUGAACUGAAACCUCUGAACCCAAAGGGGCAGAACUGGCUGAAGAGGAAGGCGUACCAGGCUCCGCAGCGCCCGAAGGCUGGAGAUGAAUCCCUGCGGCCCCCCCUCCUGGCGGCCUCCCCGGCCCGCUGCCCCACUCUAGCGCUCACACCUGGAAGAACCACUUUGAACUCUCCUAGCUGUUGCUUCUGGCAACCACCUUCCCAUUAUUAUAUAAUAUGCUUAUAUGGUUUGCUGUUGAUUUCUCCAUCGUUGAUGGUAUCAAUUCUCUGUUAUGAUGGAU